This 73-nucleotide transfer RNA is filed under the name Paractinoplanes brasiliensis. Its description in RNAcentral is "Actinoplanes brasiliensis tRNA-Lys". It matches the Rfam family "tRNA". Rfam says of the family: Transfer RNA (tRNA) molecules are approximately 80 nucleotides in length. The record is from RNAcentral. Lineage: Bacteria; Bacillati; Actinomycetota; Actinomycetes; Micromonosporales; Micromonosporaceae. RNAcentral also lists the same sequence under 1 other name.
GCGCCGCUAGCUCAACAGGUGGAGCAACGGACUCUUGAUCCGUGGGUUCGGGGUUCGAUUCCCCGGCGGCGCA